Molecule: ribosomal RNA, 506 nt
Filed under: uncultured bacterium
Lineage: Bacteria
Description: partial 16S ribosomal RNA
Rfam family: Bacterial small subunit ribosomal RNA
Source: RNAcentral
AGUGAACGCUGGCGGUAGGCCUAACACAUGCAAGUCGAACGGCAGCACAGGAGAGCUUGCUCUCUGGGUGGCGAGUGGCGGACGGGUGAGGAAUACAUCGGAAUCUACUCUGUCGUGGGGGAUUACGUAGGGAAACUUACGCUAAUACCGCAUACGACCUACGGGUGAAAGCAGGGGACCUUCGGGCCUUGCGCGAUUGAAUGAGCCGAUGUCGGAGUAGCUAGUUGGCGGGGUAAAGGCCCACCAAGGCGACGAUCCGUAGCUGGUCUGAGAGGAUGAUCAGCCACACUGGAACUGAGACACGGUCCAGACUCCUACGGGAGGCAGCAGUGGGGAAUAUUGGACAAUGGGCGCAAGCCUGAUUCAGCCAUACCGCGUGGGUGAAGAAGGCCUUCGGGUUGUAAAGCCCUUUUGUUGGGAAAGAAAUCCAGCUGGCUAAUACCCGGUUGGGAUGACGGUACCCAAAGAAUAAGCACCGGCUAACUUCGUGCCAGCCGCCGCGGUAA